UGGGGAAUUUUGGACAAUGGGGGAAACCCUGAUCCAGCCAUCCCGCGUGUGCGAUGAAGGCCUUCGGGUUGUAAAGCACUUUUGGCAGGAAAGAAACGUCGCGGGUUAAUACCCCGCGGAACUGACGGUACCUGCAGAAUAAGCACCGGCUAACUACGUGCCAGCAGCCGCGGUAAUACGUAGGGUGCAAGCGUUAAUCGGAAUUACUGGGCGUAAAGCGUGCGCAGGCGGUUCGGAAAGAAAGAUGUGAAAUCCCAGAGCUUAACUUUGGAACUGCAUUUUUAACUACCGGGCUAGAGUGUGUCAGAGGGAGGUGGAAUUCCGCGUGUAGCAGUGAAAUGCGUAGAUAUGCGGAGGAACACCGAUGGCGAAGGCAGCCUCCUGGGAUAACACUGACGCUCAUGCACGAAAGCGUGGGGAGCAAACAGGAUUAGAUACCCUGGUAGUCCACGCCCUAAACGAUGUCAACUAGCUGUUGGGGUCUUCGGACCUUGGUAGCGCAGCUAACGCGUGAAGUUGACCGCCUGGGGAGUACGGUCGCAAGAUUAAAAACUCAAAGGAAUUGG
This 566-nucleotide ribosomal RNA is filed under the name uncultured bacterium. RNAcentral describes it as "partial 16S ribosomal RNA". It matches the Rfam family "Bacterial small subunit ribosomal RNA", at positions 355 to 913 of the family's 1533-position model. The record is from RNAcentral.